UGCGUAGGCGGUUUCGUGUGUCGGAUGUGAAAGCCCAUGGCUCAACUGUGGAAUUGCAUUCGAAACUACGAAACUAGAGUGCAGGAUGGGAGAGCGGAAUUCCUGGUGUAGCGGUGAAAUGCGUUGAUAUCAGGAGGAACACCGGUGGCGAAGGCGGCUCUCUGGAAUGUUACUGACGCUCGGGCACGAAAGCGUGGGGAGCAAACAGGAUUAGAUACCCUGGUAGUCC
RNAcentral lists this ribosomal RNA (229 nucleotides) under uncultured bacterium. RNAcentral describes it as "partial 16S ribosomal RNA". It matches the Rfam family "Bacterial small subunit ribosomal RNA", at positions 568 to 796 of the family's 1533-position model. The record is from RNAcentral.